AGCAACAGCAGCAGCUGGCGG
Molecule: unclassified non-coding RNA, 21 nt
Filed under: Chlamydomonas reinhardtii
Lineage: Eukaryota; Viridiplantae; Chlorophyta; Chlorophyceae; Chlamydomonadales; Chlamydomonadaceae
Description: small RNA Cre_0443
Source: RNAcentral